CCCCAAUCGGGCGGUAAAUUCCGUCCA
Molecule: non-coding RNA, 27 nt
Filed under: Arabidopsis thaliana (thale cress)
Lineage: Eukaryota; Viridiplantae; Streptophyta; Magnoliopsida; Brassicales; Brassicaceae
Source: RNAcentral